RNAcentral lists this ribosomal RNA (439 nucleotides) under uncultured bacterium. RNAcentral's name for it is "partial 16S ribosomal RNA". It matches the Rfam family "Bacterial small subunit ribosomal RNA", at positions 339 to 795 of the family's 1533-position model. The record is from RNAcentral.
CUACGGGACGCAGCAGUGAGGAAUGUUGCACAAUGGGGGGAACCCUGAUGCAGCAAUGCCGCGUGGAGGAUGACGCAUUUCGGUGUGUAAACUCCUUUUAUAUGUCAAGAAAAUGACGGUAGCAUAUGAAUAAGCACCGGCUAACUCCGUGCCAGCAGCCGCGGUAAUACGGAGGGUGCAAGCGUUACUCGGAAUCACUGGGCGUAAAGGACGCGUAGGCGGGUUGGAAAGUCAGGUGUGAAAUCCUACAGCUUAACUGUAGAACUGCACUUGAAACUUCUAAUCUAGGGUAUGGGAGGGGGAGAUGGAAUUAGUGGUGUAGGGGUAAAAUCCGUAGAUAUCACUAGGAAUACCUAAAGCGAAGGCGAUCUCCUGGAACAUUACUGACGCUAAGGCGUGAAAGCGUGGGGAGCAAACAGGAUUAGAUACCCUUGUAGUC